GAACGAACGCUGGCGGCAUGCCUAACACAUGCAAGUCGAACGAUGCCUUCGGGCAUAGUGGCGCACGGGUGCGUAACGCGUGGGAAUCUGCCUUUCGGUUCGGAAUAACUCAGGGAAACUUGAGCUAAUACCGGAUAACGUCGCAAGACCAAAGAUUUAUCACCGAAAGAUGAGCCCGCGUAGGAUUAGCUAGUUGGUGAGGUAAAGGCUCACCAAGGCGACGAUCCUUAGCUGGUCUGAGAGGAUGAUCAGCCACACUGGGACUGAGACACGGCCCAGACUCCUACGGGAGGCAGCAGUGGGGAAUAUUGGACAAUGGGCGAAAGCCUGAUCCAGCAAUGCCGCGUGAGUGAUGAAGGCCUUAGGGUUGUAAAGCUCUUUUACCCGGGAAGAUAAUGACGGUACCGGGAGAAUAAGCCCCGGCUAACUCCGUG
This 434-nucleotide ribosomal RNA is filed under the name uncultured bacterium. RNAcentral's name for it is "partial 16S ribosomal RNA". It matches the Rfam family "Bacterial small subunit ribosomal RNA", at positions 27 to 507 of the family's 1533-position model. The record is from RNAcentral.